This 897-nucleotide ribosomal RNA is filed under the name uncultured archaeon. Its description in RNAcentral is "bacterial SSU rRNA". It matches the Rfam family "Archaeal small subunit ribosomal RNA", at positions 21 to 903 of the family's 1478-position model. The record is from RNAcentral.
CCCGACUGCUCUUUGGGUGAUAAUAAGCCAUGCGAGUUGAAUGGAAUACCUAAAUUUUCCAUGGCAAACUGCUCAGUAACACAUGAUCAACUUACCCUAUAGAGAAAAAUAACCUCGGGAAACUGAGGAUAAUGUUUCAUAGUUGAAAAGGCUUGGAAAAGUUUUUCAAUAAAAGGGAUAAGAAAAAUGGUUUUUAUCCGCUACAGGAUAGGAUCGUGGUCGAUUAUGGUUGUUGGUGAGGUAAUGGCUCACCAAGCCGAUAAUCGAUAGGGGCCGUGAGAGCGGGAGCCCCGAGAUGGGUACUGAGACAACGACCCAGGCCUUACGAGGCGCAGCAGGCGCGAAACCUCCGCAAUACACGAAAGUGUGACGGGGUUACCCAAAGUGUUCAAUUUUGAACUGUGGUAGGUGAGUAAUGUCCCCUACUAGAAAGGAGAGGGCAAGGCUGGUGCCAGCCGCCGCGGUAAAACCAGCUCUUCAAGUGGUCGGGAUAAUUAUUGGGCUUAAAGUGUCCGUAGCCGGUUCAGUAAGUUCCUGGUAAAAUCGGGUAGCUUAACUAUCUGUAUGCUAGGAAUACUGCUAAACUAGAGGGCGGGAGAGGUCUGAGGUACUACAGGGGUAGGGGUGAAAUCUUAUAAUCCUUGUAGGACCACCAGUGGCGAAGGCGUCAGACUGGAACGUGCCUGACGGUGAGGGACGAAAGCCAGGGGAGCGAACCGGAUUAGAUACCCGGGUAGUCCUGGCCGUAAACGAUGCAUACUAGGUGAUGGCAUGGCCAUGAGCCGUGUCAGUGCCGUAGGGAAACCGUUAAGUGUGCCGCCUGGGAAGUACGGUCGCAAGGCUAAAACUUAAAGGAAUUGGCGGGGGAGCACCACCAAGGGGUGAAGCCUGCGGUUC